AUUGAACGCAGGCGGCAGGCCUAACACAUGCAAGUCGAACGGUAACAGGAAGAAGCUUGCUUCUUUGCUGACGAGUGGCGGACGGGUGAGUAAUGUCUGGGAAACUGCCUGAUGGAGGGGGAUAACUACUGGAAACGGUAGCUAAUACCGCAUAACGUCGCAAGACCAAAAAGGGGGACCUUCGGGCCUCUUGCCAUCGGAUGUGCCCAGAUGGGAUUAGCUAGUAGGUGGGGUAACGGCUCACCUAGGCGACGAUCCCUAGCUGGUCUGAGAGGAUGACCAGCCACACUGGAACUGAGACACGGUCCAGACUCCUACGGGAGGCAGCAGUGGGGAAUAUUGCACAAUGGGCGCAAGCCUGAUGCAGCCAUGCCGCGUGUAUGAAGAAGGCCUUCGGGUUGUAAAGUACUUUCAGCGGGGAGGAAGGGAGUAAAGUUAAUACCUUUGCUCAUUGACGUUACCCGCAGAAGAAGCACCGGCUAACUCCGUG
This 490-nucleotide ribosomal RNA is filed under the name uncultured bacterium. RNAcentral describes it as "partial 16S ribosomal RNA". It matches the Rfam family "Bacterial small subunit ribosomal RNA", at positions 30 to 507 of the family's 1533-position model. The record is from RNAcentral.